Molecule: transfer RNA, 75 nt
Filed under: archaeon
Lineage: Archaea
Description: tRNA-Pro
Rfam family: tRNA
About the family: Transfer RNA (tRNA) molecules are approximately 80 nucleotides in length. Their secondary structure includes four short double-helical elements and three loops (D, anti-codon, and T loops).
Source: RNAcentral
GGGGUGAUCGUCUAGCUUGGUCUAGGACAUGUGCUUUGGGAGCACAUAACCCGUGUUCAAAUCACGGUCACCCCA